CCCUUAGAUGUUCUGGGCCGCACGCGCGCUACACUGACGGGGCCAGCGAGUACAUCACCUUGGCCGAGAGGUCUGGGUAAUCUUGUUAAACCCUGUCGUGCUGGGGAUAGAGCAUUGCAAUUAUUGCUCUUCAACGAGGAAUGCCUAGUAGGCACAAGUCAUCAGCUUGUGCCGAUUACGUCCCUGCCCUUUGUACACACCGCCCGUCGCUCCUACCGAUUGAAUGAUCCGAUGAAUAUCAUGGAUUGAGGAUGCAAGUAGGUUCGCCUAUCUUCAUCUUCGAGAAGUGAAGUAAAUCUUAUCAUUUAGAGGAAGGAGAAGUCGUAACA
This 329-nucleotide ribosomal RNA is filed under the name uncultured eukaryote. Its description in RNAcentral is "partial 18S ribosomal RNA". It matches the Rfam family "Eukaryotic small subunit ribosomal RNA", at positions 1470 to 1796 of the family's 1831-position model. The record is from RNAcentral.